GUGCUCGCUUUGGCAGCAUAUAUCCUAAAAUUGGAACCACACAGAGAAGAUUAGAAUAGUUCCUGCUUAAGGCUGGCCAAAAAAAAAAAAAAAAAGAAAAAAAAAAG
This 107-nucleotide small nuclear RNA is filed under the name Mus spicilegus (steppe mouse). The record is from RNAcentral. Lineage: Eukaryota; Metazoa; Chordata; Mammalia; Rodentia; Muridae.